AACAAGAUAAUCUAUAUUUAAAAUAAGGGAAAUACAAGAUUCCCAAAAUAGCACGUGGCGGAAAAAAAAUAGCUGUGAAAAAUAUUAAUUUUUGACGUGAAAAGCAACAAAUGGUGCAUAUAUGUAAUAAAGAAAUCUGUGAAAGAAUUUAAAAAUCUUAUUGAGUGCAAAGUUUCUAGGGACAAAAAAUAAGAGAUGUUUGUUCUUAAAACUUAUAUUUGUGGUUAAAAUUCGAUAAAAAUGAAUAUUAAUAACAUUUAACAACAAUUCUUACUUUUGUACAAGGCUGAAGGUAAAUCUA
Molecule: non-coding RNA, 301 nt
Organism: Drosophila suzukii
Lineage: Eukaryota; Metazoa; Arthropoda; Insecta; Diptera; Drosophilidae
Source: RefSeq, a predicted model, not a curated record